Perognathus longimembris pacificus (Pacific pocket mouse) is the source of this 196-nucleotide long non-coding RNA. RefSeq lists it as uncharacterized. The transcript has 3 exons. Lineage: Eukaryota; Metazoa; Chordata; Mammalia; Rodentia; Heteromyidae. The record is from RefSeq and is a predicted model, not a curated record.
GGGCCCCGUGCACUUCCUGUGUGGGGCGCAGAAACCCGCCUCCCAGGUCUGCCUCAGGUGCCUGCUUCAGACCAUGAAGUGAUACACCAAACUCAUCUCCGCCAUCUUAGUAGAAAGGGGGAAGGAUGCCGCGGAGCAUUUUCUGGAACAUCCUGGGCUUCUGCCUCUUAGCAGUUGGCACUUGGGGACAGGAAGG